AUUGAACGCUGGCGGCAGGCCUAACACAUGCAAGUCGAACGGUAACAGGAAGCAGCUUGCUGCUUCGCUGACGAGUGGCGGACGGGUGAGUAAUGUCUGGGAAGCUGCCUGAUGGAGGGGGAUAACUACUGGAAACGGUAGCUAAUACCGCAUAAUGUCGCAAGACCAAAGAGGGGGACCUUCGGGCCUCUUGCCAUCGGAUGUGCCCAGAUGGGAUUAGCUUGUUGGUGGGGUAACGGCUCACCAAGGCGACGAUCCCUAGCUGGUCUGAGAGGAUGACCGGCCACACUGGGACUGAGACACGGUCCAGACUCCUACGGGAGGCAGCAGUGGGGAAUAUUGCACAAUGGGCGCAAGCCUGAUGCAGCCAUGCCGCGUGUAUGAAGAAGGCCUUCGGGUUGUAAAGUACUUUCAGCGGGGAGGAAGGGAGUAAAGUUAAUACCUUUGCUCAUUGACGUUACCCGCAGAAGAAGCACCGGCUAACUCCGU
RNAcentral lists this ribosomal RNA (489 nucleotides) under uncultured bacterium. RNAcentral's name for it is "partial 16S ribosomal RNA". It matches the Rfam family "Bacterial small subunit ribosomal RNA", at positions 30 to 506 of the family's 1533-position model. The record is from RNAcentral.